AAAGAAACCCGAAAUUUUGGUCCAUCACUUCCGGUUGGCUUAAAAAUUGUCUCCGGAGAGAUGCUCGAUUCAUAUCUAACAAGUCAUAUAAGCCGAGAACCUAUCGUGGACUUUAAAUUGGUACGAAUCAGGUUAAAAUCGCGACAGAUAAAUUGAUAGCCGGCUAGUCACCGCAUAAAAUCUUAAAACCGAAAGUAAACC
This 201-nucleotide long non-coding RNA is filed under the name Brassica napus (rape). RNAcentral describes it as "long non-coding RNA (BNAP_LNC013755)". The record is from RNAcentral. Lineage: Eukaryota; Viridiplantae; Streptophyta; Magnoliopsida; Brassicales; Brassicaceae.